AUGACGUGGCGACUUGUAAUUAG
This 23-nucleotide small nuclear RNA is filed under the name Arabidopsis thaliana (thale cress). Its description in RNAcentral is "snRNA_13384". Lineage: Eukaryota; Viridiplantae; Streptophyta; Magnoliopsida; Brassicales; Brassicaceae. The record is from RNAcentral.